UUUAUGGAGAGUUUGAUCCUGGCUCAGGAUGAACGCUGGCGGCGUGCCUAAUACAUGCAAGUCGAGCGAACGGACGAGAAGCUUGCUUCUCUGAUGUUAGCGGCGGACGGGUGAGUAACACGUGGAUAACCUACCUAUAAGACUGGGAUAACUUCGGGAAACCGGAGCUAAUACCGGAUAAUAUUUUGAACCGCAUGGUUCAAAAGUGAAAGACGGUCUUGCUGUCACUUAUNGAUGGAUCCGCGCUGCAUUAGCUAGUUGGUAAGGUAACGGCUUACCAAGGCAACGAUGCAUAGCCGACCUGAGAGGGUGAUCGGCCACACUGGAACUGAGACACGGUCCAGACUCCUACGGGAGGCAGCAGUAGGGAAUCUUCCGCAAUGGGCGAAAGCCUGACGGAGCAACGCCGCGUGAGUGAUGAAGGUCUUCGGAUCGUAAAACUCUGUUAUUAGGGAAGAACAUAUGUGUAAGUAACUGUGCACAUCUUGACGGUACCUAAUCAGAAAGCCACGGCUAACUACGUGCCAGCAGCCGCGGUAAUACGUAGGUGGCAAGCGUUAUCCGGAAUUAUUGGGCGUAAAGCGCGCGUAGGCGGUUUUUUAAGUCUGAUGUGAAAGCCCACGGCUCAACCGUGGAGGGUCAUUGGAAACUGGAAAACUUGAGUGCAGAAGAGGAAAGUGGAAUUCCAUGUGUAGCGGUGAAAUGCGCAGAGAUAUGGAGGAACACCAGUGGCGAAGGCGACUUUCUGGUCUGUAACUGACGCUGAUGUGCGAAAGCGUGGGGAUCAAACAGGAUUAGAUACCCUGGUAGUCCACGCCGUAAACGAUGAGUGCUAAGUGUUAGGGGGUUUCCGCCCCUUAGUGCUGCAGCUAACGCAUUAAGCACUCCGCCUGGGGAGUACGACCGCAAGGUUGAAACUCAAAGGAAUUGACGGGGACCCGCACAAGCGGUGGAGCAUGUGGUUUAAUUCGAAGCAACGCGAAGAACCUUACCAAAUCUUGACAUCCUUUGACAACUCUAGAGAUAGAGCCUUCCCCUUCGGGGGACAAAGUGACAGGUGGUGCAUGGUUGUCGUCAGCUCGUGUCGUGAGAUGUUGGGUUAAGUCCCGCAACGAGCGCAACCCUUAAGCUUAGUUGCCAUCAUUAAGUUGGGCACUCUAAGUUGACUGCCGGUGACAAACCGGAGGAAGGUGGGGAUGACGUCAAAUCAUCAUGCCCCUUAUGAUUUGGGCUACACACGUGCUACAAUGGACAAUACAAAGGGCAGCGAAACCGCGAGGUCAAGCAAAUCCCAUAAAGUUGUUCUCAGUUCGGAUUGUAGUCUGCAACUCGACUACAUGAAGCUGGAAUCGCUAGUAAUCGUAGAUCAGCAUGCUACGGUGAAUACGUUCCCGGGUCUUGUACACACCGCCCGUCACACCACGAGAGUUUGUAACACCCGAAGCCGGUGGAGUAACCUUUUAGGAGCUAGCCGUCGAAGGUGGGACAAAUGAUUGGGGUGAAGUCGUAACAAGGUAGCCGUAUCGGAAGGUGCGGCUGGAUCACCUCCUUUCU
This 1554-nucleotide ribosomal RNA is filed under the name Staphylococcus aureus. RNAcentral's name for it is "16S ribosomal RNA". It matches the Rfam family "Bacterial small subunit ribosomal RNA". Lineage: Bacteria; Bacillati; Bacillota; Bacilli; Caryophanales; Staphylococcaceae. The record is from RNAcentral.